RNAcentral lists this ribosomal RNA (484 nucleotides) under uncultured bacterium. Its description in RNAcentral is "partial 16S ribosomal RNA". It matches the Rfam family "Bacterial small subunit ribosomal RNA", at positions 30 to 507 of the family's 1533-position model. The record is from RNAcentral.
AUUGAACGCUGGCGGCAGGCCUAACACAUGCAAGUCGAGCGGAUGAAGGGAGCUUGCUCCUGGAUUCAGCGGCGGACGGGUGAGUAAUGCCUAGGAAUCUGCCUGGUAGUGGGGGAUAACGUCCGGAAACGGGCGCUAAUACCGCAUACGUCCUGAGGGAGAAAGUGGGGGAUCUUCGGACCUCACGCUAUCAGAUGAGCCUAGGUCGGAUUAGCUAGUUGAUGGGGUAAAGGCCUACCAAGGCGACGAUCCGUAACUGGUCUGAGAGGAUGAUCAGUCACACUGGAACUGAGACACGGUCCAGACUCCUACGGGAGGCAGCAGUGGGGAAUAUUGGACAAUGGGCGAAAGCCUGAUCCAGCCAUGCCGCGUGUGUGAAGAAGGUCUUCGGAUUGUAAAGCACUUUAAGUUGGGAGGAAGGGCAGUAAGUUAAUACCUUGCUGUUUUGACGUUACCAACAGAAUAAGCGCCGGCUAACUUCGUG